RNAcentral lists this ribosomal RNA (349 nucleotides) under uncultured Pseudomonas sp. RNAcentral's name for it is "bacterial SSU rRNA". It matches the Rfam family "Bacterial small subunit ribosomal RNA", at positions 1034 to 1382 of the family's 1533-position model. The record is from RNAcentral. Lineage: Bacteria; Pseudomonadati; Pseudomonadota; Gammaproteobacteria; Pseudomonadales; Pseudomonadaceae.
ACAGGUGCUGCAUGGCUGUCGUCAGCUCGUGUCGUGAGAUGUUGGGUUAAGUCCGUAACGAGCGCAACCCUGUCCUUAGUUACCAGCACGUUAUGGUGGGCGACUCUAAGGAGACUGCCGGUGACAAACCGGAGGAAGGUGGGGAGUGACGUCAAGUCAUCAUGGCCCUUACGGCCUGGGCUACACACGUGCUACAAUGGUCGGUACAAAGGGUUGCCAAGCCGCGAGGUGGAGCUAAUCCCAUAAAACCGAUCGUAGUCCGGAUCGCAGUCUGCAACUCGACUGCGUGAAGUCGGAAUCGCUAGUAAUCGUGAAUCAGAAUGUCACGGUGAAUACGUUCCCGGGCCUU